GCGGCAACAGCUCAAAUUUGAAAGCUGGCCCCCCCGGGGGUCCGCGUUGUAAUUUGUAGAGGUUUUCUGGCCGAGGGCUCCCGCCUAAGCCCCUGGAACGGGGCGUCAUAGAGGGGAGAAUCCCGUAUGCGGUGGGCUGCCUUAGCCAUGUGAAUCUCCUUCGACGAGUCGAGUUGUUUGGGAAUGCAGCUCUAAAUGGGAGGUAAAUUUCUUCUAAAGCUAAAUACCGGCCAGAGACCGAUAGCGCACAAGUAGAGUGAUCGAAAGAUGAAAAGCACUUUGGAAAGAGAGUUAAAAAGUACGUGAAAUUGUUGAAAGGGAAGCGCUUGCAGCCAGACUUGUCCGCAGUUGCUCAGCCGGUCUCCUGACCGGCGCACUCUUCUGCGGCCAGGCCAGCAUCAGUUCGGGCGGUCGGAUAAAGGCCCCGGGAACGUAGCUCCUCUCGGGGAGUGUUAUAGCCCGGGGUGGAAUGCGGCCAGCCUGGACUGAGGAUCUCGCUUCGGCUAGGAUGCUGGCGUAAUGGCUGUAAGCGGCCCGUCUUGAA
This 544-nucleotide ribosomal RNA is filed under the name Neoscytalidium sp. Its description in RNAcentral is "LSU rRNA". It matches the Rfam family "Eukaryotic large subunit ribosomal RNA", at positions 98 to 658 of the family's 3401-position model. Lineage: Eukaryota; Fungi; Ascomycota; Dothideomycetes; Botryosphaeriales; Botryosphaeriaceae. The record is from RNAcentral.